GGUAGCAUAAUCAUUAGUCUCCUAAUUAGAGGCUUGUAUGAAUGGUCGGACAAGAUGGGACCUGUCUCAAUACAAUCAAUAUAAUUUAAUAUUUAAGUAAAAAAGCUCAAAUGAAAUGGAGGGACGAUAAGACCCUAUAAAGCUUUAUAAUACUAUCUUUUCAUAUUAAUUAUCUGGUUAUUAACGUACUAAAAGAAAAGUAUUAUUUUACUGGGGCGGUAAAAGUAUAUAAAAGAAUAACUGCUUUUGUUUUACAAAACAACUAUAUUUGAAAAAUAAAUUGAUCCAUUAUUAAUGAUCACAAGAACAAGUUACUUUAGGGAUAACAGCGUAAUUUUUUUUGAGAGUCCUAAUCGAAAAAAAAGUUUGCGACCUCGAUGUUGAAUUAAGGAUACCUCAAGGUGCAGCAGCUUUGAAGGUAGAUCUGUUCGAUCUUUAAUUCUUUACAUGAUUU
This 454-nucleotide ribosomal RNA is filed under the name Coronis scolopendra. Its description in RNAcentral is "partial 16S ribosomal RNA". It matches the Rfam family "Bacterial large subunit ribosomal RNA", at positions 1955 to 2606 of the family's 2925-position model. The record is from RNAcentral. Lineage: Eukaryota; Metazoa; Arthropoda; Malacostraca; Stomatopoda; Nannosquillidae.